UUCACCCUUAGCUGCAAGUACCGCUUUUCUAGGGGGCAAGAACCCCCCAACCCCUUCUCCUUCACCCUUAGCCACAAGUACCGCUUUUCUAGGGAGCAAGAACCCCCCAACCCCUUCUCUGCAUGUCUCUACCCCUUCUCUGCUUUUCUGGGGACAAGAACCCCCUGAUCCCUUAUUUCCAUGACUCGACCCCUUAUCUCUGUGCCCCAAUCCCUUAUUUCUGCACCCCAACCUCUUAUCUCUGUGCCCCGAUCCCUUAUUUCCAUGCCCCAACCUCUUAUCUCUGUGCCCUGAUCCCUUAUUUCCAUGCUCCGACCUCUUAUCUCUGCACCCCAACCCUUUAUUUCCGCACCCCGACCACUUUCCUGCUUUUCUGGAGGGUAAGAACCCCCAAACCCCUUCCCUCCGUGUCUCUCUCUUUUCUCUAGGCUUGCCUCCUUCAUUAUGGGCAACCUUCCACCCUCCAUUCCUCCUUCUUCUCCCUUAGCCUGUGUUCUUAAAAACCUAAAACCUCUUCAACUCACACCUGACCUAAAACCUAAAUGCCUUAUUUUCUUCUACAAUGCCGCUUGACCCCAAUACAAACUUGACAGCCGUUCCAAAUAGCCAGAAAAUGGCACUUUCAUUUUUUCCAUCCUACAAGAUCUAAAUAAUUCUUGUCGUAAAAUAGGCAAAUGGUCCGAGGUGCCUGACGUCCAGGCAUUCUUUUACACAUCAGUCCCUCCCUGGUCUCUGUUCCCAAUGCAACUCGUCCCAAAUCUUCCUUCUUUCCCUCCCACAUGUCCCCUCAGUCCCAACCCCAAGCGUCACUGAGUCUUUCUAAUCUUCCUUUUCUACUGACCCAUCUGACCUCUCCCUUCCUCGCAAGGCCGAGCUAGGUCAUAAUUCUUCCUCAGCCUCUGCUCCUCCACCCUAUAAUCCUUUUAUCACCUCCCCUCCUCACACCCGGUCUGGCUUACAGUUUCGUUCUGUGACUAGCCCUCCCCCACCUGCCCAGCAAUUUCCUCUUAAAAAGGUGGCUAGAGCUAAAGGCAUAGUCAAGGUUAAUGCUCCUUUUUUUAAUCCCAAAUCAGAGAGCGUUUAGGCUCUUUUUCAUCAAAUAUAAAAACCCAGCCCAGUACAUGACUCGUUUGACAGCAACCCUGAGACACUUUACAGCCCUAGACCCUAAAAGGUCAAAAGGUCGUCUUAUUCUCAAAAUACGUUUUAUUACCCAAUCUGCUCCUGACAUUAAAUAAAACUCCAAAAAUUAAAUUCCAGCCCUCAAACCCCACAACAGGACUUAAUUAACCUCACCUUCGAGGUGUACAAUAAUAGACUAGAGGCAGCCAAAUAGCAACAUAUUUCUCAGUUGCAAUUCUUUGCCUCCACUGUGAGACAAACCCCAGCCACAUCUCCAGCACACAAGAACUUCCAAACGCCUGAACCGCAGUGGCCAGGCGUUCCUCCAGGCCCGCCUCUCCCAGGAGCUUGCUACAAGUGCCAGAAAUCUGGCAACCAGGCCAAGGAAUGCCCACAGCCCAAGAUUCCUCCUAAGCCACGUCCCAUCUGUGCAGGACCCCACUGAAAAUCGGACUGUUCAACUCACCUGGCAGCCACUCCCAGAGCCCCUGGAACUCUGGCCCAAGGCGCUCUGACUGACUCCUUCCCAGAUCUUCUCAGCUUAGCAGCUGAAGACUGACGCUGCCCGAUCGCCUCAGAAGCCCCCUAGACCAUCACGGACGCCGAGCUUCAGGUGACUCUCACAGUGGAAGACAGGAAUGUCAUGCCUCUGAGCCCAAGCUAAGCCAUCAUAUCCCAUGUGACCUGCACGUACACAUCCAGAUGACUGGUUCCUGCCUUAACUGAUGACAUUCCACCACAAAAGAAAUGAAAAUGGCCUGUUCCUGCCUUAACUGAUGACAUUAUCUUCUGAAAUUCCUUCUCCUGGCUCAUCCUGACUCAAAAGCUCCCCUACUGAGCAUCUUGUGACCUCCACUCCUGCCCGCCAGAGAACAACCCCCCUUUGACUGUAAUUUUCCUUUACCUACCCAAAUCUUAUAAAAAGGCCCCACCCCUAUCUCCCUUCACUGACUCUCUUUUCAGACUCAGCCCGCCUGCACCCAGGUGAAAUAAACAGCUUUACUGCUCACACAAAGCCUGUUUGGUGGUCUCUUCUCACGGACGCGCAUGAAAAGUUUCCCUUGUUGUCUUGGAAUAAUACUCUAAAAACCCCUUCUUAAAGAUAGUCUGUGUUUUUCAGCUCUCAGUUGUACAGUGUGCCGGAGACUUUCAUACCCAGAGUACAAUUACAGGUGGGGAAAUAAAUGGUUAUCUUUACUAAAAUGAGAAGGGAGAGUGUGAAAGGUAAGAUUUAAACAAACAUCCACUUAAAAUCAUGGAUUCCUCCUCAAGAAGCUCAAAUUUGAAGAGUAUCUGAAAUAAAUGUAAGACCUAGAAAUUGAUUUAUAUGCUCUCAGUUUUGAAUUCCAGUUUUCAUUUUAUAUUUGGGAAGUUUCAGGUAGACAGGAAGUGGAAGCAGAGCCUCUAGUGUUUGUGGGGAGAAAAUAAAGCUAUUGAAGAGAUAAAGCUACAGUACUUCAUUUUUCCUCCCCCAGGCGGGAGAGGGAGGGCUUCAGAGACACUGGGAUUUGUACUGGAGGGAAGAAAAUUUAGGGGCAAGUUACAUCAUCUCUUGGGAAUACGGGGAUUGGGGGACACAUCGGAAUCUCUGGGAGCCUUUAGGAAAAACAUUGCAUGUCCUCACUUGCUCCAGGUGAUGGGAACAAGUGCUCAGCAGCAGCAGGAGGUAUCUGGAGGAGUAACUUGGUGCAGGGCUCCUGGCAACCAACUAGAGUAGACACUCUGCAAGAGAGAUCAGAGGGGACAUGAAGACCUUCCCCUACUGUCACAGAAACCAAAUAUCCUCUCCUCCCAUGCAUGCAACACCAACCCAAAAGAAACUAAAGACAGGACUCAAUUUAUAAGCCUGAACUGAGAUUAAUAGAUUGAGCUAAAUGUUUUUCUCCUCUUCUCCUCACCUCUCUCACACACACUGUGUGUGGGUGUGUUUGUGUGUGUGCUGUGGGAGGGGACACCCAAGAGGCAAUCAGAUCAUUCCAGGUAGAAAGAAAAAAAAUGAACUCUAUUUCCUCUGUACAUUUAAAUGUAAUGAAUAUAUUUGCAAUUCUAAUAUGUACUUUUAUUUUAAUCAUAUAAACUGUGUCUAGUUUUUUUUCUUUUAUUUAAGCUGUUCCCUCAAAUCCUUGUCUUUUUAAGAAAAAAGUCUCUUACUAUUUGCAAAUACUUUCAAAUACUAUUUGGGCACCUAAUGAAUGUGCAACAUUGUGCGAGAUGUUAACAAAUCUCCACGUGGGUUCCUAGCCUGGAGUGGAGGCCUGACUUAACUUCUGCUUCUGCUUAAACACACACACACACACACACACACACAAUAUAGCUUGACUCUGUAAUCUCAAAUUGGGCAUCUAGGGUGUGCCUUCUGGUAGAAACAGUGGAUGGUCAUAAUUCCUGUCAUUAAUUUCCAAUACCCCCGCCACACCCCCGCCCCCCCAACACACACACACAGACUACCAAGAAAACUGUUGAUCAGGCAAAAGAGAGACUUUAAACUUACUGCAGCUAGGUAGGGCAUUUUAAUAGAGUCAUCAGUGUCCCAACAGGAGAGUAUAGGGAAGGAUGUUUACAGGAUUUUUAGGCCUGAGCUGGGUGAUUUUAAGUCAAGUCCGGCAUGAAAGGGAACUGAUGUAGUUGGGCAAAAUCUUCAAGGACCCUUAAGGAGUAAUAUUUCAGACCUGAUAGAUAAGCUCUUUUAAUUGGCUCAGUCUCAUCUUCCAUGUGCAUGUAUUUUCUGGUGCGUCUGGUUAACUACAAACACAGGAAAGUAUUUCUGGUCCCAGUAUUGUUUAACAGUGAAUCAUUGGUUUCCAUUCUCAUUAGCAUUAAAAGACAGUUUUCAGAAAAGUGUAGAAUCAUGACUCUCACUGAUACAAGAAUAAACAUGUGUGAAAAGAUUGUAUUUUACUCAUUUAAUGAGAGAACCAGGUAGAUGUUAUAACCAGUUCUAAAGAGAAAGAGAAAAAGAACAAAUAUGUAUCGAGUAAAGAAAGUAAAUUGCAUGUGGAGACAAAACUGUUUUUUCCACCAGAGGGAGAGCAGUCAAUUAAAACUCUACUGAGCAGGACAAAAUUUGCCUGUCUAUCCAGUCAUAAAAUAGCUUAAAGAAAAUAAAAAGCUAGAAUCUUGUAACCAAGAAGGAUGGGCCAAAUAGAUACAAUGUAUACUUUUCUAUAGAAACAGAGCUUUUUCUAUAUUGGUAUGCUUUUAAAAAAAUUUAUUUUUUAUAUAUUUUUUAUUCUGUGUUUCAUUUGUAGAGAUGGGGUUUAGCUAUGUUGCCCAGGCUGGUCUUGAAUUCCUGGACUCAAGCCGUCUUCCUGCCUCGGCCUUCCAAAGUGCUGGGAUUACAAGCGUGAGCCACCAUGCCCAACCUACAUGA
Molecule: long non-coding RNA, 4492 nt
Filed under: Homo sapiens (human)
Lineage: Eukaryota; Metazoa; Chordata; Mammalia; Primates; Hominidae
Description: HSALNT0034638
Source: RNAcentral